UGUCGACGGAGUUGUUUGGUGUGGAGCUGUAAUUGUUUUGUGUACUAAUUAGAUUUUUGUACAGACUGUUCCAUGUGCAAUUUUUUUAAAGUUUACUUGCAGUUUGUGUUUGCUGAAAUGUUCCUUUUGCAAGUUUGUGACGUUUUUAAACCGCAAACCGCGUCUUCUCGGCGCCUCGAGCACGUGGCGAGAAGUAAGAAGAAUGAAUAGAGAGAAAAAAAACCCUGAUUUUUGAUGAUGUAAAAUGUAAUCCCAUGACAGUCUGCUCUGUAAGACUGAUUCUGUCAGAUCACAGAAGCUAAGCAGUGUGGGGCCUGGUUAGUACCUGGAUGUGAUACCUUGUCGCAACACCAGGUCCUCUGUGUGUUUCUCUGGGUGUAACUGAAGUUGCAUCAGGAAGGGCAUCUGGCAUAAAACAUGUGGCAAAUACCAAUGCAUAUCUGGCUGCAUCUGCUGUGGUGGCCCCAAAGAAAAGGAAGUGGCAGACUGGACAACAAAAUAAGGUGUGAUGCCAUGAAGUUACCAGUGGAGACCUGGUGUUUGGCUGACAGGUGAAUGCUGCUGUGGACUAAAGCUCGACUGAAGACUUAGUUUACACAGGAUGAGCUGAUAUGAUGGCAUCCUCUGGAAAGAGUGCAACUCUUCUUACUGGGCAUCUGCUGCUACAGGUCCCCUCACCUACUGUUUGACUCGGUCAUCAGUCUGUUUUGAUGUCUGCUGUUGAGGACUUUAUACAGAUGUUCAGGUGACCGGGAUGUGCUCGGUCAGUGCUCAACAGUUUACAUGGUGAGACCUCUGUUGCCCGACACCUUUUUGACAGAACUCUGCAGCGUUGUUGCUGAAAGCACCAGUCUUCAUUCUUCGGUGAAGCAUGGAACUACCAUGGCAUUUUUGGCGUCAGAUGAAAAAGUGGCACUUGAUUUGAAGAAAAAGAUCAAAUAUAUACAUAAACUAGCUUAUACUAUAUUAAAUUAUCCAAGGUAAAAGUUUGUGUGGUCAAAAUCCUAUGUGACUGAGUCAACACUUCUAUAUAGAGAAGUGCCAUACCAUGGCUUACAGAUCGUCUUCUGGCUAAAGUUGUCUGUUUCUUCCGGGACGGAUCACUUGGAAAUGCUCAGUAAGAUGGUUAAUGAUUUACCAUUUUGGGGAUGGAAACAGCUGAAUUCCACUUGGGAGUGUUUAAAUUAGAUGUGUUGACAGUCUUCAGACAAAUGUCUUGUAAUUAUAGAAGUUAUUUGUAUGAAUGCUGAGCUGUUUGAAAAUAAAAGGUUGUCUUGCAGAAGUCCUUUGAAGGUUUUUGUUGGGUUGGGAGGGUAUGAUGAAAUAGAUUUAUAUGAACUGGUAACUCGAGCACAAGACAGACUCUUCUAUGCAUGGUAAAUUAAUGCAAGCAAAAAUUUGUCCCAUUUGAGUACUUAUAUUUUAUAGUCAUACAUUGGCUUCGUGGCCAAGUGGUUAAUGUGCUUGGUUUCAGUGCAGAAGGUUCCGGGUUCAAAUCCCACCCCUGCCACAUUUCUCCAUGUAAUGUGGAGUUGCAUCAGGAAUGGCAUCCAGCGUAAAACCUGUGCCAAUUCAACAUGCAGAUCCACCUUGGAUUUGCUGUGGUGACCAGGAGUGCAAAUAAGGGAGCGGCCGAAGGGACUUACUUUUUACAUUUGCUUGGUAUCCACUAGAGAACGGCUAUUUGAGUUCCUGCAAAAAUCUAGUUCUAGGUUUUCUUGGUUGGUGCAGUUUCUAUUUGCGGUCAAUAAGAAGUGAAACUUGUGGAAAGUCGGUGGUUUCCAUCACACUGUACUAACUUGUAUAAAAUCAAAUUCAGUCAAAACAGGUUUUACACUGUAUAUCCUGAACUGUUACCAUGACAGGACAUGGGACUAACUGACAAAUGUCCAUUUUUAGCCAAGGCCAAAACAUGGGCAUUGGGUAUUGCGAAGACCUUGCGUCCAUCCAUCUGUCUGUGCUCAGCACAAGUCCAGUCCUAUUAUUGCCAGGGUCUUCAAAUUUACAGGGAGCAUUCUUGAGACACAGACCAGACAAAUUCAAAGAUGGCUAACCUUGACCUAUACUAAGGGGUUACAAGGUCAUAUUCUUUCGACACACUUUCAUUGAUUACAUGCUCAUAUGGCCAAGGGUAUUUUAGCAUGUCAUAUUUACAUUGUACAACACAUACAGUAGGUAAGUAGAAUUUAGUCCUUUGGGGGUAUGAAAUGAUUGCACUUUAGACUGAGUUAAGAGCAUAUUGCAGUCAGACUGAAUUUAAAGCUUAAAUUCAAAUGGCAAUGAGUGACAUGUUACUGAUUCAGAAAGACAAUGGGAAAACCUCCAAAUGUCAACAACUGAAAGAGGUCACCCAUUAAAUCAGAUUUGCACAUAAGCUCUGCAAAAUUUCCCUGCAUUGUCAAUCAUUUUAAGUGACUUCUGAAUCACUAGUUCUGAACUACAUGACAAAUAACAGAAGACAGUCUUCUUUAAUAAUUACUACAUACAACAAAGUCCCCAUCCAUUCCAAUUGAAUGUCUUCAUGUCCACAUUAAUUACUGGAUAUGAUAAAAACUCACUCAUUUACAAAUCACUUGCCAGUUUCCAUUAAACUGUUAAAAUCAUAUAAUCAGCCAUAACUUAAUGACCCACCACAGAAACGUCCAAUUAGGCUCAUUGUUCAUCUUAGGGAGAUUCUUUAUGAUUGACCUUGGUCUUCAAACGUUCAGUCAAGGUCAAAGUUGACCAGAAAAAUUAGUAUUCUGUAUUUAAAUCUGAUGCAUGGAAGUGGCAUAUUGGUCCUAGAACACAGUUAACAUUUUAUGGUCACAGUUCAAAUUUCAAGGUUAAACAAAACAUGAAAAAUGCAUAAUCAAUUAAGAUCCAACUUGAAUUUCACCAUUCUGGAAGUGCCAUUUUGGUCAAUAAUGACUUGAAAUCUUCAAGUAAAACCACUUGCGGGAGAUUGUUGGCAUCACACCAAAACCUUUCAGAAAAUGUUUCAUCCAACUUGAAUUUUGCCGUUCUGAUUUUUAAAUGGACCCACUUGCUGGAUAUUGUUGGCUUCAUGCCAGAACUCAAACAUUUGAUCUAACUUGAAUUUUGCCAUUUUGAAGUUCCAGUCAACAUUUAUUUCAUAGUUUGACGUCAAAAGUAAUUAUGUUGGCAGAGGUCCAUGCACUAUCUGAGCACAGUUCCAGUUUAAAGAUGUUUUUCUGUUCAUUUCCUUCAGGACAAAACAAUUUUAAUCUGUCCAGUAUUAAGUUACAACUUUUGACACCAUCACAGGCUAACCAGCUACAUAACAGUAGGAGUGAGCCAAUGUCCUAAAACUGCUUCUUGUCACCACUACCACUAUGGUUUGGUAGGAUGCAGAGAAUCCAUAUGAACAUAAUUGUGUGCAUGUUUAGAGUGCAUCUGCAACGUAUGCAGUGCUUCACUUGUUUCACAUUUUGUAUUACAGCCUUAUUCCAAAAAGUAGAAAAUUAAUUCCUCCCUCUUCAAAAAUUUACUCGCAACA
This is a long non-coding RNA of Thalassophryne amazonica, 3499 nucleotides long. RefSeq lists it as uncharacterized. The record is from RefSeq and is a predicted model, not a curated record. The transcript has 6 exons. NCBI's taxonomy places the organism in Eukaryota, Metazoa, Chordata, Actinopteri, Batrachoidiformes, Batrachoididae.